AUCUUGUGAUAGGGACACUUCCUCAGCAGCAACUUAAAUUGCUCUCAUGCCUCAUACAAUGUUUCACCCUCAAUCUGCUUGAAAUUUGCAAUAUCAUGUCUGAGCU
This 106-nucleotide small nucleolar RNA is filed under the name Gossypium hirsutum (cotton). RNAcentral's name for it is "Plant small nucleolar RNA R71". It matches the Rfam family "Plant small nucleolar RNA R71". From Rfam's summary of the family: R71 is a member of the C/D box family of snoRNAs containing the C (UGAUGA) and D (CUGA) box motifs. Multiple nearly identical copies of this snoRNA have been identified in Arabidopsis, and it is thought to function as a 2'-O-ribose methylation guide for 18S ribosomal RNA. RNAcentral also lists the same sequence under 1 other name. The record is from Rfam by way of RNAcentral. Lineage: Eukaryota; Viridiplantae; Streptophyta; Magnoliopsida; Malvales; Malvaceae.